GCCAUGCCAUGUUGAAAACCUAGUUCUUGCCUGAUCACCAAAGUUAAGCAAUGUAAAGCCUGGUCAGUACCUAGAUUGGUGACCACUUGGGAAUACUAAGUGUUGCAGGC
This is a non-coding RNA of Acanthosepion pharaonis, 110 nucleotides long. The record is from the annotation of a GenBank genome assembly. NCBI's taxonomy places the organism in Eukaryota, Metazoa, Mollusca, Cephalopoda, Sepiida, Sepiidae.